UCUGGCUUGCAGCGUGCAAGCUGCGCACUGCACUUGUAUGUCUGUUAGGGUCAAGACAUUCCUACAGGCCAGAACUGUACAUACAGAAACAAGACAAGUGGCUGAAACUGGACAACCCUGAGAAUCUAUCAGCAAGGACUACAUAGACUUCUACAGUGCAUCUUCCUUUUUGUAACAUGCUAUCCCCUGCAGAAUCUACAGUUUGGAAGUUCCUACAGACACAGCUUAGAGCCUUUCCCAUGUCUGAAUCAAACCUCAUCAGAUUUCACAGGCUAAGGAUCAGCACAGCAAGCAACGGCUGUCAGAAACGGAGCUUUGCAAGGGGCAGGGCGCAGGUUUCCCGGGCAGACCCAAUCGCUUCAUCCCAGGAGAGCCUGCGAGGAAAGGAUUGCUGAGUUUUGCGCAGACCCCGACUAACAUACAAAAGAUGACGGGGGGAAGAAAAAUGAAUGAUAUCAAAUAGGCAUCAAAGUAAAAUUUGUGGGAGACAUGUUUUAU
Molecule: long non-coding RNA, 498 nt
Organism: Chrysemys picta bellii (western painted turtle)
Lineage: Eukaryota; Metazoa; Chordata; Testudines; Emydidae
Source: RefSeq, a predicted model, not a curated record